GAUGAACGCUGACAGAAUGCUUAACACAUGCAAGUCUUUGGCGAAGCUGUGCUCGCACAGCCUAGCCAAGGCGGACGGGUGAGUAACGCGUAAGGAACUUGCCCUGCAGUCAGGGAUAACAGACGGAAACGACUGAUAAGACCUGGUAAAGUCAGGCGGACUCAUGUCCAGCCUGAUGAAAAGAGAUGCUGCAGGAGAGCCUUGCGUCCUAUUAGCUUGUUGGUGGGGUAACGGCCCACCAAGGCGAUGAUAGGUAGCCGGCCUGAGAGGGUGGACGGCCACAAGGGGACUGAGAUACGGCCCUUACUCCUACGGGAGGCAGCAGUGGGGAAUAUUGGACAAUGGGGGCAACCCUGAUCCAGCAAUUCUGCGUGCACGAUGAAGGUUUUCGGAUUGUAAAGUGCUUUCAGCAGGGAAGAAAAAAAUGACGGUACCUGCAGAAGAAGCGACGGCUAAAUACGU
This 462-nucleotide ribosomal RNA is filed under the name uncultured bacterium. Its description in RNAcentral is "partial 16S ribosomal RNA". It matches the Rfam family "Bacterial small subunit ribosomal RNA", at positions 28 to 506 of the family's 1533-position model. The record is from RNAcentral.